AGAUGAUGGAGAAUACCCAGGAGCAGUAGGUGAGUAUCCUGCACUCGGACUGUAUUGUGGAGAACUGGAGCUAUAAUCAGGGCUGGGUCCUGUAUUAUAUGGACUGCUAGGACUGUAGGUCGGGCUUGAUGGAGAAUAUGCUGGAGAAGUAGGUGAAUAUGAUGGUGACGUAGGGCUGUAGUUUGGCGAGGUCGGGCUAUAUGGACUUGAAGGAGACAACCGUGGACUACUGGGUGAGUAUGCCUGUGAUGGGCUGUAUUUAGCUGAUUGAGGAUUAUAACUAGGUGAUGUGGGACUAUAGCUAGGAGAAGUGGGGCUAUAGCUCGGUGAUGUGGGACUAUAGCCAGGGGAGGUGGGGCUAUAUGCUGGAGAGGUGGGGCUGUACGAGGGUGAUGUAGGACUGUAAGAGGGAGAUGUUGGGCUGUAGGAAGGAGACGUGGGACUAUAAGAAGGUGAUGUUGGGCUGUAGGAGGGUGAAGUUGGGCUGUAGGCAGGGGAAGUGGGACUGUAAGCAGGGGAAGUGGGACUGUAAGCAGGGGAAGUGGGACUGUAA
RNAcentral lists this unclassified non-coding RNA (553 nucleotides) under Hevea brasiliensis (rubber tree). Lineage: Eukaryota; Viridiplantae; Streptophyta; Magnoliopsida; Malpighiales; Euphorbiaceae. The record is from RNAcentral.